UACGGAGGGUGCUAGCGUUGUUCGGAAUCAUUGGGCGUAAAGGGCGCGUAGGCGGUCUAUCAAGUCAGGUGUGAAAUCCCUUGGCCUAACCGAGGAACUGCGCUUGAAACUGGUAGACUUGAGUACGGGAGAGGGAAGCGGAAUUCCGAGUGUAGAGGUGAAAUUCGUAGAUAUUCGGAGGAACACCAGCGGCGAAGGCGGCUUCCUGGACCGAUACUGACGCUGAGGCGCGAAAGCGUGGGGAGCAAACAGG
This 253-nucleotide ribosomal RNA is filed under the name uncultured bacterium. RNAcentral's name for it is "partial 16S ribosomal RNA". It matches the Rfam family "Bacterial small subunit ribosomal RNA", at positions 524 to 776 of the family's 1533-position model. The record is from RNAcentral.